AUUUAUUAUUACAGUUAAAAGUACAGCUAAAACAGUGUUCAACAGCUGAUGGAAGCAAAGGUUUUAACUUGGAUAUCAAGGGAGUUAAUCACAAAUAUCACUUCCAGGUAGAUUUUACAGCACAUGAGUUAUGUUUCAUGAGAUUUGAAGAAAUCCAAGACAAUGUACAUGAAACCUCGUGCAUUGCCUGUCUUGAUAGAAAUUUCUAUCCUUCCAUUGUAUACUCACGGUUGCUGAUGCUGUUAUACUCAGAUCCAGAAAUUGGAGAAGAGGCCAGUUGUAUUAAGGUGCCAUUUAUACAGAGAGGU
Long non-coding RNA from Ruditapes philippinarum (Manila clam), 308 nucleotides. RefSeq lists it as uncharacterized. Lineage: Eukaryota; Metazoa; Mollusca; Bivalvia; Venerida; Veneridae. The record is from RefSeq and is a predicted model, not a curated record. The transcript has 3 exons.